GGGACAACGGGUAACCGCCUUUAAAGGGGACCGGCCCCCCUGGGACUGAAACCCGGCCCAGAUUCCUACGGGAGGCAGCAGUGGGGAAUAUUGCACAAUGGGCGAAAGCCUGAUGCAGCGACGCCGCGUGAGGGAUGACGGCCUUCGGGUUGUAAACCUCUUUCAGCAGGGAAGAAGCGAAAGUGACGGUACCUGCAGAAGAAGCGCCGGCUAACUACGUGCCAGCAGCCGCGGUAAUACGUAGGGCGCAAGCGUUGUCCGGAAUUAUUGGGCGUAAAGAGCUCGUAGGCGGCUUGUCACGUCGGGUGUGAAAGCCCGGGGCUUAACCCCGGGUCUGCAUUCGAUACGGGCUAGCUAGAGUGUGGUAGGGGAGAUCGGAAUUCCUGGUGUAGCGGUGAAAUGCGCAGAUAUCAGGAGGAACACCGGUGGCGAAGGCGGAUCUCUGGGCCAUUACUGACGCUGAGGAGCGAAAGCGUGGGGAGCGAACAGGAUUAGAUACCCUGGUAGUCCACGCCGUAAACGGUGGGAACUAGGUGUUGGCGACAUUCCACGUCGUCGGUGCCGCAGCUAACGCAUUAAGUUCCCCGCCUGGGGAGUACGGCCGCAAGGCUAAAACUCAAAGGAAUUGACGGGGGCCCGCACAAGCAGCGGAGCAUGUGGCUUAAUUCGACGCAACGCGAAGAACCUUACCAAGGCUUGACAUACACCGGAAAACCCUGGAGACAGGGUCCCCCUUGUGGUCGGUGUACAGGUGGUGCAUGGCUGUCGUCAGCUCGUGUCGUGAGAUGUUGGGUUAAGUCCCGCAACGAGCGCAACCCUUGUUCUGUGUUGCCAGCAUGCCCUUCGGGGUGAUGGGGACUCACAGGAGACCGCCGGGGUCAACUCGGAGGAAGGUGGGGACGACGUCAAGUCAUCAUGCCCCUUAUGUCUUGGGCUGCACACGUGCUACAAUGGCCGGUACAAAGAGCUGCGAUACCGUGAGGUGGAGCGAAUCUCAAAAAGCCGGUCUCAGUUCGGAUUGGGGUCUGCAACUCGACCCCAUGAAGUCGGAGUUGCUAGUAAUCGCAGAUCAGCAUUGCUGCGGUGAAUACGUUCCCGGGCCUUGUACACACCGCCCGUCACGUCACGAAAGUCGGUAACACCCGAAGCCGGUGGUCCAACCCCUUGUGGGACGGAGC
This 1178-nucleotide ribosomal RNA is filed under the name Streptomyces sp. RNAcentral's name for it is "bacterial SSU rRNA". It matches the Rfam family "Bacterial small subunit ribosomal RNA", at positions 273 to 1453 of the family's 1533-position model. The record is from RNAcentral. Lineage: Bacteria; Bacillati; Actinomycetota; Actinomycetes; Kitasatosporales; Streptomycetaceae.